This 486-nucleotide ribosomal RNA is filed under the name uncultured bacterium. Its description in RNAcentral is "partial 16S ribosomal RNA". It matches the Rfam family "Bacterial small subunit ribosomal RNA", at positions 30 to 507 of the family's 1533-position model. The record is from RNAcentral.
AUUGAACGCUGGCGGCAUGCCUUACACAUGCAAGUCGAACGGCAGCACGGGUGCUUGCACCUGUUGGCGAGUGGCGAACGGGUGAGUAAUACAUCGGAACAUGUCCUGUAGUGGGGGAUAGCCCGGCGAAAGCCGGAUUAAUACCGCAUACGAUCUACGGAUGAAAGCGGGGGACCUUCGGGCCUCGCGCUAUAGGGUUGGCCGAUGGCUGAUUAGCUAGUUGGUGGGGUAAAGGCCUACCAAGGCGACGAUCAGUAGCUGGUCUGAGAGGACGACCAGCCACACUGGGACUGAGACACGGACCAGACUCCUACGGGAGGCAGCAGUGGGGAAUUUUGGACAAUGGGCGAAAGCCUGAUCCAGCAAUGCCGCGUGUGUGAAGAAGGCCUUCGGGUUGUAAAGCACUUUUGUCCGGAAAGAAAUCCUUGGCCCUAAUACGGUCGGGGGAUGACGGUACCGGAAGAAUAAGCACCGGCUAACUACGUG